UACAGAGGUCUCAAGCGUUGUUCGGAUUCAUUGGGCGUAAAGGGCGUGUAGGCGGUUUGUUAAGUCAUGUGUGAAAUCCCUCGGCUCAACCGGGGAACGACGCAUGAAACUGGCAAGCUAGAGUACCAAAGAGGGUGGUGGAAUUCCCGGUGUAGCGGUGGAAUGCGCAGAUAUCAGGAGGAACACCGGUGGCGAAGGCGGGUCUCUGGGCAGUAACUGACGCUGAGGAGCGAAAGCGUGGGGAGCGAACAGG
Molecule: ribosomal RNA, 253 nt
Filed under: uncultured bacterium
Lineage: Bacteria
Description: partial 16S ribosomal RNA
Rfam family: Bacterial small subunit ribosomal RNA
Source: RNAcentral